RNAcentral lists this ribosomal RNA (468 nucleotides) under uncultured bacterium. RNAcentral's name for it is "partial 16S ribosomal RNA". It matches the Rfam family "Bacterial small subunit ribosomal RNA", at positions 28 to 523 of the family's 1533-position model. The record is from RNAcentral.
GAUGAACGCUGGCGGCGUGCCUAACACAUGCAAGUCGAGCGAUUUACUUCGGUAAAGAGCGGCGGACGGGUGAGUAACGCGUGGGUAACCUGCCCUGUACACACGGAUAACAUACCGAAAGGUAUGCUAAUACGAGAUAAUAUGCUUUUAUCGCAUGGUAGAAGUAUCAAAGUUCCGGCGGUACAGGAUGGACCCGCGUCUGAUUAGCUAGUUGGUAAGGUAACGGCUUACCAAGGCGACGAUCAGUAGCCGACCUGAGAGGGUGAUCGGCCACAUUGGAACUGAGACACGGUCCAAACUCCUACGGGAGGCAGCAGUGGGGAAUAUUGCACAAUGGGCGAAAGCCUGAUGCAGCAACGCCGCGUGAGCGAUGAAGGCCUUCGGGUCGUAAAGCUCUGUCCUCAAGGAAGAUAAUGACGGUACUUGAGGAGGAAGCCCCGGCUUACUACGUGCCAGCAGCAGCCGCGG